This 1068-nucleotide ribosomal RNA is filed under the name Umbelopsis angularis. RNAcentral's name for it is "eukaryotic LSU rRNA". It matches the Rfam family "Eukaryotic large subunit ribosomal RNA", at positions 1 to 982 of the family's 3401-position model. The record is from RNAcentral. Lineage: Eukaryota; Fungi; Mucoromycota; Umbelopsidomycetes; Umbelopsidales; Umbelopsidaceae.
CAAAUUUUGAUCUGAAAUCAGGUAGGAUUACCCGCUGAACUUAAGCAUAUCAAUAAGCGGAGGAAAAGAAACUAACAAGGAUUCCCUCAGUAACGGCGAGUGAAGCGGGAAGAGCUCAAAUUUAAAAUCUGGUUUGCUUGCAAGCCCGAGUUGUAGUCUGAAGAAACGUUUUCCAUAAGCACUGAGGCAAAAGUCCCUUGGAACAGGGCAUCAUAGAGGGUGAGAAUCCCGUCCAUGGUCUCAAGUUGUUUAUUUUGUGAUACGUUUUCAAAGAGUCAGGUUGUUUGGGAAUGCAGCCUAAAAUGGGUGGUAAAUUUCAUCUAAAGCUAAAUAUUGGCGAGAGACCGAUAGCGAACAAGUACCGUGAGGGAAAGAUGAAAAGAACUUUGAAAAGAGAGUUAAACAGUACGUGAAAUUGUUGAAAGGGAACCGUUUGAAGCCAGUCUUACUUGCCNUGUGAUCAAUUUUUGCYUCGGCAUGAAUGCACUCUCGGGUAUGGUAGGCCAACGACAGUUUGGAAUGCGAGAAAAAAAUAAGGGAAAUGUGGCCUUCGGGUGUUAUAGUCCCUUAUAAAAUAUCGUGUUCUGGACUGAGGAUCGCAGCAAAAAYGUGGGCAGGUGGAUUUCUGUGGUAACUGUCGRUUAGGACAACUUGUUGACCUAGUCUUCCUUAGCCUCACUAUUUACCUCGCUUCUAAUUUGCUUAGGUCGUUGGCAUAAUGGCUUUAAAUGACCCGUCUUGAAACACGGACCAAGGAGUCUAACAUAUAUGCGAGUAUUUGGGUGGCAAACCCAUAUGCGCAAUGAAAGUGAAAUUAGGUGCCAAACCUUCACGGGUGGCAGCAUCGGCCGGCUCUGACGUUUUAACUGACGAGUCUGAGCAGAAGCAUACAUGUUGGGACCCGAAAGAUGGUGAACUAUGCCUGAAUAGGGUGAAGCCAGAGGAAACUCUGGUGGAGGCUCGUAGCGAUUCUGACGUGCAAAUCGAUCGUCAAAUUUGGGUAUAGGGGCGAAAGACUAAUCGAACCAUCUAGUAGCUGGUUCCUGCCGAAGUUUCCCUCAGGAUAGC